UACGGAGGGGGCUAGCGUUAUUCGGAAUUACUGGGCGUAAAGCGCACGUAGGCGGCUUUGCAAGUUAGAGGUGAAAGCCCGGGGCUCAACUCCGGAAUUGCCUUUAAAACUGCAUCGCUAGAAUUGUGGAGAGGUAAGUGGAAUUCCGAGUGUAGAGGUGAAAUUCGUAGAUAUUCGGAAGAACACCAGUGGCGAAGGCGACUUACUGGACACAUAUUGACGCUGAGGUGCGAAAGCGUGGGGAGCAAACAGG
Molecule: ribosomal RNA, 253 nt
Filed under: uncultured bacterium
Lineage: Bacteria
Description: partial 16S ribosomal RNA
Rfam family: Bacterial small subunit ribosomal RNA
Source: RNAcentral